RNAcentral lists this long non-coding RNA (232 nucleotides) under Capsicum annuum. RNAcentral's name for it is "long non-coding RNA (CANN_LNC002036)". The record is from RNAcentral. Lineage: Eukaryota; Viridiplantae; Streptophyta; Magnoliopsida; Solanales; Solanaceae.
UUCCUCCAAAAUAACGUGUCGAAACUUAGCACAAAGAUGUGUGCAAUAAAUAGAGUUGCUCCAUCCUUAAUCAGAGGUCUUGGAUUUGAGUUUUGGGUAUGAAAAAAUCUUUGGUAAGGAACACUAUCCCCUAAAUAGGACCCUAUUCGACGCGAAUCUGAAUUAGUCGGACUCCAAUGCGAAUAUCGAAUGAGAAAUAAAAAAAAAACAUAUCGAAACGACUGAAUAUUUC